UGGGAUCUUCAUAAUUGUUUACCACUACUUCUGCUUCAUUGCUUAACUGCUUCUGGCUUCUUGGUUAUUUUGAUCGGCCUGCUUUGGGAUCUUUAUGUUAGUUCACAUCUACUCUGCUUCUCAUCUAGAUGCUCUUAUGUUUGAAAACUUCAUCGGCUCUGAUGAUUGCUGGUCUUGCUUUUCUUGAACUUAAAAUGGCCGAGGAGUUGCACUUGCUACUCUGGCAGGUAUUUAAUACCUUUCAGGCAGGCUUCGAAGAAACUUGUCUUACGGUGUAGAAUAGUUUAGAGUAUGUAGAACGUCUCUGCUUUGUUUGAGGUGGGCACUUGGAUAAACACUUAUCGCCAUCUGCAAUAGUCAUUCCUUUGGUUUCAUCACGUUUGGUACAUGGACUAAUCUUUAAACGAGAGAUUUUUCUGCUCAUUGGUUUCAAUUUCAUCAUGUUUGAUUCAAGGAUCAUUCUGUCUUUAUUGAAGGCUUUUU
Long non-coding RNA from Arabidopsis thaliana (thale cress), 483 nucleotides. RefSeq annotates it as other RNA. The transcript has a single exon. Lineage: Eukaryota; Viridiplantae; Streptophyta; Magnoliopsida; Brassicales; Brassicaceae. The record is from RefSeq.